RNAcentral lists this ribosomal RNA (403 nucleotides) under uncultured bacterium. RNAcentral describes it as "partial 16S ribosomal RNA". It matches the Rfam family "Bacterial small subunit ribosomal RNA", at positions 30 to 526 of the family's 1533-position model. The record is from RNAcentral.
AUUGAACGCUGGCGGCAGGCCUAACACAUGCAAGUCGAGCGUGCGGCGGACGGUUGAGUACUGUUUAGGGACUGCCCGAUAGAGGGGGAUAACUACUGGAAACGGCGGCUAAUACCGCAUAAUGUCGGAUAACCCAUAUGGGAUUAGCUCGUAGGUAAGGUAAUGGCUUACCUAGGCAACGAUCCCUAGCUGGUCUGAGAGGCUGAUCAGCCACACUGGGACUGAGACACGGCCCAGACUCCUACGGAGGCAGCAGUGGGGAAUAUUGCACAAUGGGCGCAAGCCUGAUGCAGCCAUGCCGCGUGUAUGAAGAAGGCCCUAGGGUUGUAAAGUACUUUCAGUCGGGAGGCGUUACCGACAGAAGAAGCACCGGCUAACUCCGUGCCAGCCGCCGCGGUAAUUC